RNAcentral lists this ribosomal RNA (465 nucleotides) under uncultured bacterium. RNAcentral describes it as "partial 16S ribosomal RNA". It matches the Rfam family "Bacterial small subunit ribosomal RNA", at positions 28 to 507 of the family's 1533-position model. The record is from RNAcentral.
GACGAACGCUGGCGGCGUGCUUAACACAUGCAAGUCGAACGGAAAGGCCCUGCUUGCCGGGUACUCGAGUGGCGAACGGGUGAGUAACACGUGGGUGAUCUGCCCUGCACUUUGGGAUAAGCCUGGGAAACUGGGUCUAAUACCGGAUAGGAGCCACUUUUAGUGUGAUGGUUGGAAAGUUUUUUCGGUGUAGGAUGAGCUCGCGGCCUAUCAGCUUGUUGGUGGGGUAAUGGCCUACCAAGGCGGCGACGGGUAGCCGGCCUGAGAGGGUGGACGGCCACAUUGGGACUGGGAUACGGCCCAGACUCCUACGGGAGGCAGCAGUGGGGAAUAUUGCACAAUGGGCGCAAGCCUGAUGCAGCGACGCCGCGUGGGGGAUGACGGCCUUCGGGUUGUAAACUCCUUUCGCUAGGGACGAAGCUUUUUGUGACGGUACCUAGAUAAGAAGCACCGGCUAACUACGUG